This 253-nucleotide ribosomal RNA is filed under the name uncultured bacterium. Its description in RNAcentral is "partial 16S ribosomal RNA". It matches the Rfam family "Bacterial small subunit ribosomal RNA", at positions 524 to 776 of the family's 1533-position model. The record is from RNAcentral.
GACGUAGGGCGCGAGCGUUGUCCGGAUUUAUUGGGCGUAAAGAGCUCGUAGGCGGCUUGUCGCGUCGUCCGUGAAAACCUGGGGCUCAACCCCAGGCUUGCGGUCGAUACGGGCAGGCUAGAGUUCGGUAGGGGAGACUGGAAUUCCUGGUGUAGCGGUGAAAUGCGCAGAUAUCAGGAGGAACACCGGUGGCGAAGGCGGGUCUCUGGGCAUUACCUGACGCUGAGGAGCGAAAGUGUGGGGAGCGAACAGG